UACGGAGGGAGCUAGCGUUCUUCGGAAUUACUGGGCGUAAAGCGCACGUAGGCGGCUUUGUAAGUAAGAGGUGAAAGCCCAGAGCUCAACUCUGGAAUUGCCUUUUAGACUGCAUCGCUUGAAUCAUGGAGAGGUCAGUGGAAUUCCGAGUGUAGAGGUGAAAUUCGUAGAUAUUCGGAAGAACACCAGUGGCGAAGGCGGCUGACUGGACAUGUAUUGACGCUGAGGUGCGAAAGCGUGGGGAGCAAACAGG
RNAcentral lists this ribosomal RNA (253 nucleotides) under uncultured bacterium. RNAcentral's name for it is "partial 16S ribosomal RNA". It matches the Rfam family "Bacterial small subunit ribosomal RNA", at positions 524 to 776 of the family's 1533-position model. The record is from RNAcentral.